Molecule: unclassified non-coding RNA, 195 nt
Filed under: uncultured Basidiomycota
Lineage: Eukaryota; Fungi; Basidiomycota
Description: sequence contains ITS2
Source: RNAcentral
AACUCUCAACCCCCUUGUUUUGUAAUGAGACACGUGUGGGCUUGGAUUAUGGCUGUCUGUCGGCGUAAUUGCCGGCUCAGCUGAAAUAUACGAGCAACCCAUUUUCGAUAGGAACGGUUUGACUCGGCGUAAUAACUAUUUCGCUGAGGACGUUUCUGAAAGCAGUGGUGCUUCUAGUGCAAUAAUCAUUUAAGC